Molecule: long non-coding RNA, 512 nt
Organism: Balaenoptera musculus (blue whale)
Lineage: Eukaryota; Metazoa; Chordata; Mammalia; Artiodactyla; Balaenopteridae
Exons: 3
Source: RefSeq, a predicted model, not a curated record
AAGGAUGUCCCAGCCGGAAAACUGAGCCAACAUAAGUAACGACUGAAAGAGGACAAGCUCCCCAUGAAGGGCUGCUCUGUAGAGCGUGACUGUCCUCAGUCCUUGGAGGGUGAAGGCAGUGGAGAAGCAGAGACCAGAUGGGAUGAAAAGAAGGAUUUGCCAGUGCGGGCUGUCAUACAUUCCUGUCAAUUAUUAGAUCUCUUCUUUGAAAGAUGAUGACAGAGUGGGUCACCUGGAAAGAUCUGCCAAACACAGUGAAGACCGCAAAUCAAAGGAACAGCAUCAGAAAGAUCAGUCUGAUAAACUAGGAUGGUUGUUCUCAAACUUUUGUAUCAGGAUCACUAGAAAGCUUGUUAAAACAAGUUCUCUGGGCCUCACCUUUGGAGUUUCUGUGUCCGUAGGUCUGGCAUGGGGACAGAAUAUCUGGAUUUCUAGGUGGUUCCCAGCUGAAAUCAAUGGAAUUUGAUUACUAUCAUCUGUAUUGAUUUUAGAAAAGCUUUUGAAAAAUCUUU